UUUUUGUUUAGUGUUGCGCGAGCCGGGAGUGGACGUGAGGCGGCCAAGAUGCAAAAUAUAUACGGAUAUUUUGACUCCAGCCGAUACGGACCAGACACGGGUGUCGUGCAGUGUGGGGAAUCACUGGCGGAGGACUGAGCGGUGCAGUGGUUUGUUUACAAACAAGAGGGGUCCACGUGAUAAGAAAAGAAGCUUUUCAACAGUAAAUCUUUGUGCCAUUGGAAGUUAUGUCAGAAAUCUUCCGAGGUACAGCUCAACAUGCGCCUGCUAGCAGCCUUACCUUUAGUUCACAUCCAGGAACUCUACGCCUAUUCAGGCAUUUAUUUUAUGAGAAUUGAAUAAAUAUAUUUGUCUGGGAUUUUUUUUAUAUUUUGAUAUGAAAAAUUAUGAUAAUGAUAAUGAUAAUAGAUAGAAAAGGAGAAUGAAGAUAUAAAUAUAAUAACUGUUUCAGCAGUUUCAAAUUCAAUCUACCGAAUAUAAUCUGUAAAUAUUGCCCUUGGUAUUGCUUUGACGAUUUGCGUUGGUACAUGAAAAUAUUUGAAAUUGAAAUGGUUUAAAAGCUUUGCAAACGUACCUUGUAUUAAAAAACGAUUGUAUUUGAGUACUUAAAAAUCUAAAGUCUGCUGCAAGGCUGUAGGCGAAUCAAAAGAUUUUAAAACUAUAAACGCACAUUUAUAAAGUGUAAUUACAAACCUGCUUUUUGGAGUUCAAUUUUGUUUCUAAAUUUUGUUCCAUGUCAUGAUAUUUUCAAUGUACUUUAGAACAAAUUUGUCUAUCCUCCGGAAUGACAUUUCCUCACUUUUAAUAAUGUAAUUCAUCGCUUUUUUAUAGGACAUUUUUUU
This is a long non-coding RNA of Lingula anatina, 842 nucleotides long. RefSeq lists it as uncharacterized. Lineage: Eukaryota; Metazoa; Brachiopoda; Lingulata; Lingulida; Lingulidae. The record is from RefSeq and is a predicted model, not a curated record.